CAGUCGAACGGGAAGAGAUGAAGAGCUUGCUCUUUAUCAAAUCCAGUGGCAAACGGGUGAGUAACACGUAAACAACCUGCCUUCAGGAUGGGGACAACAGACGGAAACGACUGCUAAUACCGAAUACGUUCCGCGGGCCGCAUGACCUGUGGAAGAAAGGGUAGCCUCUACCUGUAAGCUAUCGCCUGAAGAGGGGUUUGCGUCUGAUUAGGCAGUUGGUGGGGUAACGGCCCACCAAACCAACGAUCAGUAGCCGGUCUGAGAGGAUGAACGGCCACACUGGAACUGAGACACGGUCCAGACUCCUACGGGAGGCAGCAGUGGGGAAUCUUCCGCAAUGGACGAAAGUCUGACGGAGCAACGCCGCGUGAGUGAAGACGGCCUUCGGGUUGUAAAGCUCUGUGAUCCGGGACGAAAGAGCCUAAGGUAAAUAGCCUAAGGAAGUGACGGUACCGGAAAAGCAAGCCACGGCUAACUACGUGCCAGCAGCCGCGGUAAUACGUAGGUGGCAAGCGUUGUCCGGAAUUAUUGGGCGUAAAGCGCGCGCAGGCGGCUUCCUAAGUCCAUCUUAAAAGUGCGGGGCUUAACCCCGUGAUGGGAUGGAAACUGGGAAGCUGGAGUAUCGGAGAGGAAAGUGGAAUUCCUAGUGUAGCGGUGAAAUGCGUAGAGAUUAGGAAGAACACCGGUGGCGAAGGCGACUUUCUGGACGAAAACUGACGCUGAGGCGCGAAAGCGUGGGGAGCAAACAGGAUUAGAUACCCUGGUAGUCCACGCCGUANACGAUGGAUACUAGGUGUAGGAGGUNUCGACCCCUUCUGUGCC
RNAcentral lists this ribosomal RNA (822 nucleotides) under uncultured bacterium. Its description in RNAcentral is "bacterial SSU rRNA". It matches the Rfam family "Bacterial small subunit ribosomal RNA", at positions 59 to 847 of the family's 1533-position model. The record is from RNAcentral.